AGUGGCGGACGGGUGAGUAACGCGUGGGUAACCUACCCUGUACAGGGGGAUAGCAGCUGGAAACGGCUGAUAAAACCGCAUAAAACGGCAGUACCGCAUGGUACAACCGUCAAAUAUUCGAUAGGGUACAGGAUGGGCCCCGCGUCUGAUUAGCCAGUUGGUGGGGUAACGGCCUACCAAAGCGACGAUCAGUAGCCGGCCUGAGAGGGUGAACGGCCACAUUGGGACUGAGAUACGGCCCAGACUCCUACGGGAGGCAGGCAGUGGGGAAUAUUGGGCAAUGGGCGAAAAAGCCUGACCCAGCAACGCCGCGUGAAGGAAGAAGGUCUUCGGAUUGUAAACUUCUGUCCUAAGGGAAGAGGAGAAGACUGUACCUUAGGAGGAAGCCCCGGCUAACUACGUGCCAGCCGCCGC
RNAcentral lists this ribosomal RNA (414 nucleotides) under uncultured bacterium. RNAcentral's name for it is "bacterial SSU rRNA". It matches the Rfam family "Bacterial small subunit ribosomal RNA", at positions 94 to 518 of the family's 1533-position model. The record is from RNAcentral.